AGAGUUUGAUUAUGGCUCAGGAUGAACGCUAGCUACAGGCUUAACACAUGCAAGUCGAGGGGUAGCAGGGUAGCAAUACCGCUGACGACCGGCGCACGGGUGAGUAACACGUAUCCAACCUUCCCAUAACUCAGGGAUAGCCUUUCGAAAGAAAGAUUAAUACCUGAUAGUACUUUUUCAAGGCAUCUUGAGAAAGUUAAAGAUUUAUUGGUUAUGGAUGGGGAUGCGUUCCAUUAGAUAGUUGGUGAGGUAACGGCUCACCAAGUCUUCGAUGGAUAGGGGUUCUGAGAGGAAGGUCCCCCACAUUGGUACUGAGACACGGACCAAACUCCUACGGGAGGCAGCAGUGAGGAAUAUUGGUCAAUGGGCGAGAGCCUGAACCAGCCAAGUAGCGUGAAGGAUGAAGGUCCUAUGGAUUGUAAACUUCUUUUAUAGUAGAAUAAAGUGAUCCACGUGUGGAUUUUGUAUGUAUACUAUGAAUAAGGAUCGGCUAACUCCGUGCCAGCCGCUGC
RNAcentral lists this ribosomal RNA (512 nucleotides) under uncultured bacterium. RNAcentral's name for it is "bacterial SSU rRNA". It matches the Rfam family "Bacterial small subunit ribosomal RNA", at positions 8 to 518 of the family's 1533-position model. The record is from RNAcentral.